GGUUCCAUAGUGUAGUGGUUAGCAUGUCUGCUUUACAUGCAGAAGGUCCUUGGUUUGUGCCCCAGUGGAGCCA
RNAcentral lists this transfer RNA (73 nucleotides) under Pteropus alecto (black flying fox). It matches the Rfam family "tRNA". Rfam says of the family: Transfer RNA (tRNA) molecules are approximately 80 nucleotides in length. Their secondary structure includes four short double-helical elements and three loops (D, anti-codon, and T loops). Lineage: Eukaryota; Metazoa; Chordata; Mammalia; Chiroptera; Pteropodidae. The record is from Rfam by way of RNAcentral.